GCGGGGAUUGCCGAGUGGUCAAAGGCGCUAGAUUCAGGUUCUAGUCCUUAGUGGUCCGGGAGUUCGAAUCUCCCUCCCCGCACCA
This 85-nucleotide transfer RNA is filed under the name Candidatus Heimdallarchaeota archaeon. RNAcentral describes it as "tRNA-Leu". It matches the Rfam family "tRNA". Rfam says of the family: Transfer RNA (tRNA) molecules are approximately 80 nucleotides in length. Lineage: Archaea; Promethearchaeati; Candidatus Heimdallarchaeota. The record is from RNAcentral.